RNAcentral lists this ribosomal RNA (44 nucleotides) under Chlamydomonas sp. 825. RNAcentral describes it as "partial 28S ribosomal RNA". The record is from RNAcentral. RNAcentral also lists the same sequence under 3 other names. Lineage: Eukaryota; Viridiplantae; Chlorophyta; Chlorophyceae; Chlamydomonadales; Chlamydomonadaceae.
CGACCUGAGCUCAGGGGAGAACACCCGUUGAACUUAAGCAUAUC